RNAcentral lists this ribosomal RNA (474 nucleotides) under uncultured Methylibium sp. Its description in RNAcentral is "bacterial SSU rRNA". It matches the Rfam family "Bacterial small subunit ribosomal RNA", at positions 8 to 487 of the family's 1533-position model. Lineage: Bacteria; Pseudomonadati; Pseudomonadota; Betaproteobacteria; Burkholderiales; Sphaerotilaceae. The record is from RNAcentral.
AGAGUUUGAUCAUGGCUCAGAUUGAACGCUGGCGGCAUGCCUUACACAUGCAAGUCGAACGGCAGCACGGGAGCAAUCCUGGUGGCGAGUGGCGAACGGGUGAGUAAUACAUCGGAACGUGCCCAGUUGUGGGGGAUAGCCCGGCGAAAGCCGGAUUAAUACCGCAUACGACCUGAGGGUGAAAGCGGGGGAUCGCAAGACCUCGCGCAAUUGGAGCGGCCGAUGUCAGAUUAGCUAGUUGGCGGGGUAAGAGCCCACCAAGGCGACGAUCUGUAGCUGGUCUGAGAGGACGACCAGCCACACUGGGACUGAGACACGGCCCAGACUCCUACGGGAGGCAGCAGUGGGGAAUUUUGGACAAUGGGCGCAAGCCUGAUCCAGCCAUGCCGCGUGUGGGAAGAAGGCCUUCGGGUUGUAAACCACUGUUGCCCGGGACGAAAAGCCCUUUCGAGGGAAUGACGGUACCGGGGAGAG